GGCGAUAUUGCUCAGUAGUAGAGCACUAGUUUGGCAAACAUGAGACCCUGGGUUCAAUUUCUAGCAUCACAA
Molecule: transfer RNA, 72 nt
Filed under: Ictidomys tridecemlineatus (thirteen-lined ground squirrel)
Lineage: Eukaryota; Metazoa; Chordata; Mammalia; Rodentia; Sciuridae
Description: Spermophilus tridecemlineatus (thirteen-lined ground squirrel) tRNA
Rfam family: tRNA
About the family: Transfer RNA (tRNA) molecules are approximately 80 nucleotides in length.
Source: Rfam by way of RNAcentral